RNAcentral lists this transfer RNA (70 nucleotides) under Salmo salar (Atlantic salmon). It matches the Rfam family "tRNA". Rfam says of the family: Transfer RNA (tRNA) molecules are approximately 80 nucleotides in length. Lineage: Eukaryota; Metazoa; Chordata; Actinopteri; Salmoniformes; Salmonidae. The record is from Rfam by way of RNAcentral.
GCCCGUGUGGCUCAGUUGGUAGAGCAUGGUGUUUGCAAUGCCAGGGUUGUGAGUUUGAUUCCCACGGGGG